UCUUUCGUGUUCUUUUUUUUUUUUUUUUUUUUUUCUCUCUCUCU
RNAcentral lists this non-coding RNA (44 nucleotides) under Chloropicon laureae. The record is from RNAcentral. Lineage: Eukaryota; Viridiplantae; Chlorophyta; Chloropicophyceae; Chloropicales; Chloropicaceae.